This 440-nucleotide ribosomal RNA is filed under the name uncultured bacterium. Its description in RNAcentral is "partial 16S ribosomal RNA". It matches the Rfam family "Bacterial small subunit ribosomal RNA", at positions 338 to 795 of the family's 1533-position model. The record is from RNAcentral.
CCUACGUGUGGCAGCAGUGGGGAAUAUUGCACAAUGGGGGAAACCCUGAUGCAGCGACGCCGCGUGAGCGAUGACGUAUUUCGGUAUGUAAAGCUCUAUCAGCCGGGAAGAAAAUGACGGUACCUGACUAAGAAGCCCCGGCUAACUACGUGCCAGCCGCCGCGGUAAUACGUAGGGGGCAAGCGUUAUCCGGAUUUACUGGGUGUAAAGGGAGCGUAGACGGCGGUGCAAGCCAGAUGUGAAAGCCCGGGGCUCAACCCCGGGACUGCAUUUGGAACUGGGCUGCUAGAGUGGCGGAGAGGCAGGCGGAAUUCCGAGUGUAGCGGUGAAAUGCGUAGAUAUUAGGAGGAACACCAGUGGCGAAGGCGGCCUGCUGGACGAUGACUGACGUUGAGGCUCGAAAGCGUGGGGAGCAAACAGGAUUAGAUACCCGAGUAGUC